RNAcentral lists this long non-coding RNA (1985 nucleotides) under Ooceraea biroi (clonal raider ant). Its description in RNAcentral is "uncharacterized LOC113561619". Lineage: Eukaryota; Metazoa; Arthropoda; Insecta; Hymenoptera; Formicidae. The record is from RNAcentral.
CGAGAAAUCAUCGAGAUAUGAUCGAGAGAUUGUACAGUCGGCGCUAGGAUUGAGUACGGGUCAACAUGCAGCUCGCGUAUCUCGAAUCAGUAUCAUUCUUUCCGGCCGAGAACGAGUUAAAGUUUUCAAGAACAAGAAAUAGAUUCGCUUCUCUUGCAUUUGCAAAGCGCUUACGAGAAAAUCUUGGCAACUCGUAAAUUCAAAAGGAUUUGGAAUUCUAUAUGAAUGUAAAACAUAGCUCGAAGUCUAACUUAUUGUUUCCGUUUGUAUCCGCGACGGAUAAAAGACGAUUCCACCAGCUGAAACAAAAGCUCGAAGUUUCAAAGUGAUUUUUUAAUAAUCUUCAAUAUCUCCACAAUCGCUGGAAAGACCGAAGAAAAGUUACGUGAGGGUUAUCAUCGAUUCUUGCGAUCUCACCGAUCGGUCCCGGCCAAGCGGAAAUUUCCCACGAAAAAAAUGUCAAUUGCCCGGAACGGUCCGGAGCCACCGGAAGAACACAGAGGCUACAUUAUGGAGGCUACCGGAAAUGGAGCUGAGGUUUAGCCGGAAAUGUCCGAAUGGUGCUGUCUAUAUAUUUGAACCGGGCAACACAAUGAACACGCGAGGAUUUUACUCCCAUGUGAGUAUCGCCGAAUACGUUUCUACCACGAGAGAUACACGAGUACCAAAUAUAUAUAUUUUUUUAUUCAUCCACCUCUCUCUACACUUUUUUAAUGUUUUAUAUAUAAUAAAACAUUAAAUAUAAGAAAAAAUUAACUAUGUUACAACAGUCACAAAAUUUUGAUAAAAAUAAAAGUAAAAUGCAUUAAGAAAUAAAUUCGUCUAAUAUUUACUCUAUAGAGAGAGAGAAAAAGAGAUUUGCUUCACUGAAACCAAGUUUCAGUAUUAAUCCAUCAUCCAAAAUUUAAGUUAAACUUUUGUUCAAGAUGCUUUGAAAGCGAUUCAAGCGUACAGUAUGAUUUAUUCUCGGUGGUACACACAUCUCCGAGAAUAUACCCGAGGUAAACUGUGUGACAAGUAUAUUACGUUAUCGUGACAUCUCGAAAUAUGCCACAACGCGAGUCUUCCUUACGUGACCCUAUAACGUUAGUAUGCGUUUCGUGAUAGAAAUACGUUUCUUUAAGAUUAUGGAUUUUACGAUAUAUUUAUCCUAGUCAUUUUGCCAAGUGCUCAAAAUCUCUGUUAUGUCUUUAAAAAGCCUCUGCAUUUAUAUGAAUUCCGAAGAUUGUCCCCGCCACUAAAAGAAUGUCUUUAUGGAUGCCUAUUUUAUUACUAUUGCAAAUUGUUCGCAGGAUCAUUGAAGAUCGUCGUUUCCCCGUCAAUCCUCGAUCUAUUCUAGAAUCGCGAUUCUCGACUGUAUUACGUCUCCCGGCAAGGCCUCAAUUUUUCCAUUCAUCGACUCGCGAUGACCGCGAUGACUCAUUGAUCGCAGCAACAAGCAGCGCAUUGCUGUUAGGACGUGCAACCGCGAAACCGGGCGUGUCGAUAUCUGAUGAUCCGUCGUCUACUACGGUUUAGCGAACUCGCCGUCGUCGCCCUCCUCGCCGAUGCCGAUCACGUCGUAGUUGGAGUUUACGAGACGCAUUAUUCGAACGCGGGGUCGGCGACCAGACUGAAUUUCGUGCCGCGAUUAGCAAAGUACAAAGUUGACCCUUCAAUUCCCAAUGUCACCUGCAGAUCCUCGGAAUUCAUACAAAUGCAGAGGCUUGGCGUUUUGCGCAUUUCCAGGAUACAUUCCCAGCUUCCGUACGUGCCACUGAAAAUUUCAGAGUUCAUAUGCAAAGCCCGUAUUAUAUAUCUCAAAAAAUUCCAACGAAUAUUUUUUCAUAAUUCUGUGUGAGUUUUUAAUAAUGUGAGUUUUUACGUAUUUUUAGUCGAUUUUAGAUUUUAGCGAUAAGAUAGGAUUUUUAUUUAAUGCAUACGUUAAAUGUACGAGGCGUACGAGGCUGACCCAUGUAGAAAAAAAAAACCCUUUUCAUUAUCAU